This 73-nucleotide transfer RNA is filed under the name Pseudogymnoascus destructans. Its description in RNAcentral is "partial tRNA-Sec". It matches the Rfam family "tRNA". From Rfam's summary of the family: Transfer RNA (tRNA) molecules are approximately 80 nucleotides in length. Their secondary structure includes four short double-helical elements and three loops (D, anti-codon, and T loops). Further hydrogen bonds mediate the characteristic L-shaped molecular structure. tRNAs have two regions of fundamental functional importance: the anti-codon, which is responsible for specific mRNA codon recognition, and the 3' end, to which the tRNAs corresponding amino acid is attached (by aminoacyl-tRNA synthetases). tRNAs cope with the degeneracy of the genetic code in two manners: having more than one tRNA (with a specific anti-codon) for a particular amino acid; and 'wobble' base-pairing, i.e. permitting non-standard base-pairing at the 3rd anti-codon position. The record is from RNAcentral. Lineage: Eukaryota; Fungi; Ascomycota; Leotiomycetes; Thelebolales; Thelebolaceae.
AAAGAGCAUAGUUUAAUAGGCAAAACAAGAAGCUUCAGAUUUCAUGUUCUCAGUUCAAGUCUGAGUACUCUUG